AGGACGAACGCUGGCGGCGUGCUUAACACAUGCAAGUCGAACGGAAAGGCCCGCUUGCGGGUACUCGAGUGGCGAACGGGUGAGUAACACGUGGGCAACCUGCCCUCAGCUUCGGGAUAACACUUGGAAACAGGUGCUAAUACCGGAUAAUAACCUUUCAUCGCAUGGUGGUUGGUUCAAAGUUUUUCGGCUGAGGAUGGGCCCGCGGCCUAUCAGCUUGUUGGUGGGGUAAUGGCCUACCAAGGCGACGAC
This 252-nucleotide ribosomal RNA is filed under the name uncultured bacterium. RNAcentral describes it as "partial small subunit ribosomal RNA". It matches the Rfam family "Bacterial small subunit ribosomal RNA", at positions 26 to 280 of the family's 1533-position model. The record is from RNAcentral.